Molecule: long non-coding RNA, 1382 nt
Filed under: Numida meleagris (helmeted guineafowl)
Lineage: Eukaryota; Metazoa; Chordata; Aves; Galliformes; Numididae
Description: lncRNA (ENSNMEG00000018764.1)
Source: RNAcentral
CUCAUUUACAGUCUGGUGCUCUGAAUUCAACCAGCAAAAAUCCCCUUUCCUUUCCUUAUCAUACCUGUACAACCUGGCUGACAGUCACAUAGGAGAAGCCCUGCUGAGUUUGCAAGAGUGAAUGCACUGCUGUCAGUUGCAGGAGGGGCUUUGUCCACAGUGGGACGAGGUCCCACCUGAUCCUGCUCCCACACCACUAAGCAUCUGCUCUGGAGCAAGGUGUUUGACUGGGGAGGAGGUCAGGUUGACAUAUCAGGAGUGCUUGAUUUCCAGCCCUGGCUUUCCCAGUGAGCCUGCACAGAAGGCUGUUCGCCCAUGAAAUCUGAUGAUCUACACAAAGACAAGAACAGAGAGGUGAACAAGAGCAUGGAGUCUGUAGGCACUGGCAUAAUGGCAUAGAAAUUCAACUUGGUGCUUGAAAAAUGGCUUUUCUUCUUCCCUUUUUCUUUUAGAAAUGUGGCACCCCACUGGCAAGGCUCUCUGGGAUUCAGUAUAAGGGCUGCAGACAAACAGGAAUGAAGGAAUAAAGAGGAACACUCAGAGGGGUGAGGACGGAGGGAGGCUUGGAUGCAGAGGAGGAGACUGAGCAUGGACAGUGAGAAGCCUUUCCCAGGAUGACUCCCACUCUGGAGAGGACAGCUGAGUGCCUACCAUCGGGGCUGUACUGGAGAGACACCAGUUUGAAGAGUGUACAUCAGAAAACGAUCACAGCCCGUUCACAUGGUGUCUGCUGGGCCUAUUGUCAGCUAAUCGAGACCAGCCUUGCUCCACCCAAGUCAGUGUGGCAUCCAGGGAGGCUGGUGAGGAAUAAGCUGAAGCGUGAGUGUGAAGGGCACUGUCAGUUCUGCAGAAAUGGCUCUUAUUUCACAGGGCUAACGUCACAUCCAGAGUGCUCACAGCAGUCUUUGUGCAGGUAUCCUCUGGGGAGUGAGUGAGAAGCAGCUAUUCUGAGCUAUCCCCUUAUUUAGGUAAGCCACAUCUAUAAUAUCUGAUGAUUCCCUUUUAAUUUCAUCCUAUUUCUCCUAGCUAAAGCCCCUUGUUCCACCUUAAUUUAUCCCUUCUCCCCCUUAACACCCUUCAAACAUUUCCCUUCCUAGCAAUUUAGCCAGACUUUAAUCUCACCUAGUUAUUCAUUCAUCAGGACCCAAUCCCUCCUUCCCCUCCACCAACUCUGCACCACCUCCAGCGUGUGUGCUGCUAAUGAGCACGACUGAGCACGGGGAUCCUGGUGGCACUACACCCAGGGCUGCUCAGCCUCUGACCACAGCAUCACUUGUCCCAUGCUUGCUGACCCUCCCUCCACCCCUCCCUUGCACUUCCAUCACCACCAGAUGCAAAAUGAAGGGCUGUUUUCCUCCUGCUGGCAGCCUCACGUGUCUAUU